Long non-coding RNA from Oncorhynchus keta (chum salmon), 270 nucleotides. RefSeq lists it as uncharacterized. NCBI's taxonomy places the organism in Eukaryota, Metazoa, Chordata, Actinopteri, Salmoniformes, Salmonidae. The record is from RefSeq and is a predicted model, not a curated record. The transcript is spliced from 2 exons.
CCUUGCCUCCAAAAUACAGUAGUGUUGUCAACAAAAAUACCUCAAUGUCACAGCAGUGUUGCACUGCACCAGUUUAACACUCUCCCCUCCCUAUAAAUGUAAAGCCAGGAGGAUCUAUCAGAGAAGCCAGGAGUCCUGGUCUGAGGCUGGAGGCCGUAGCCUGGGGAUGGAAGUGGUUUAGCUCUGGCCUCCCAGGGUGUGCUUGUCAAACAGGUACUCUGCCAUCUUGUUUUUGACAGCAUCCAUCUUGGUGAGGUUGGUGAUGUGGUC